This 970-nucleotide small RNA is filed under the name Pan troglodytes (chimpanzee). RNAcentral describes it as "processed transcript". The record is from RNAcentral. Lineage: Eukaryota; Metazoa; Chordata; Mammalia; Primates; Hominidae.
CAAAACUACUUUCUGGUCAGAGAGAAGCAAUAAUUAUUAUUAACAUUUAUUAACGAUCAAUAAACUUGAUUGCAUUAUGGCCAGCACUAUUAAGUUAAACUCCAUUGAUGAUGCACAGUUGGCAAGAAUUGCCCCUCCAAGAUCUCAUUGCUGUUUCUGGGAAGUAAACGCUCCUUAAAAGAUUUACUUGAAGCCUUAUCAGUUGUGAGCGAGGACCAGUCGUUGUUUGAGUGUGCCUACGGAACGCCACACCUGGCUAAGACAGAAAUGACCGCGUCCUCCUCCAGCGACUAUGGACAGACUUCCAAGAUGAGCCCACGCGUCCCUCAGCAGGAUUGGCUGUCUCAACCCCCAGCCAGGGUCACCAUCAAAAUGGAAUGUAACCCUAGCCAGGUGAACGGCUCAAGGAACUCUCCUGAUGAAUGCAGUGUGGCCAAAGGCGGGAAGAUGGUGGGCAGCCCAGACACCGUUGGGAUGAACUACGGCAGCUACAUGGAGGAGAAGCACAUGCCACCCCCAAACAUGACCACGAACGAGCGCAGAGUUAUCGUGCCAGCAGAUCCUACGCUAUGGAGUACAGACCAUGUGCGGCAGUGGCUGGAGUGGGCGGUGAAAGAAUAUGGCCUUCCAGACGUCAACAUCUUGUUAUUCCAGAACAUCGAUGGGAAGGAACUGUGCAAGAUGACCAAGGACGACUUCCAGAGGCUCACCCCCAGCUACAACGCCGACAUCCUUCUCUCACAUCUCCACUACCUCAGAGAGACUCCUCUUCCACAUUUGACUUCAGAUGAUGUUGAUAAAGCCUUACAAAACUCUCCACGGUUAAUGCAUGCUAGAAACACAGAUUUACCAUAUGAGCCCCCCAGGAGAUCAGCCUGGACCGGUCACGGCCACCCCACGCCCCAGUCGAAAGCUGCUCAACCAUCUCCUUCCACAGUGCCCAAAACUGAAGACCAGCGUCCUCAGUUAG